GCGUCAAUCGCUUCUUCUAGCGAACUUCCUACGAACAUCCGACGAACCCUCGGUGAUGCUCUGGCGGACUUCCGGCAAACACCUGGACUUGCGACGAUCCACUUGACAAGUUCCGACGAGCUUCUUUGGCAAGCUCCUGGACUUCUCGGAUUUGUUCCCGCAGAACCUCCGACGACCGUCCGGACUUCCGUCGAACUCUCGAACUCCCAAC
Molecule: long non-coding RNA, 211 nt
Filed under: Musa acuminata (dwarf banana)
Lineage: Eukaryota; Viridiplantae; Streptophyta; Magnoliopsida; Zingiberales; Musaceae
Description: long non-coding RNA (MACU_LNC010079)
Source: RNAcentral